Molecule: transfer RNA, 75 nt
Filed under: Candidatus Nesciobacter abundans
Lineage: Bacteria; Pseudomonadati; Pseudomonadota; Alphaproteobacteria; Holosporales; Holosporaceae
Description: tRNA-Thr
Rfam family: tRNA
About the family: Transfer RNA (tRNA) molecules are approximately 80 nucleotides in length.
Source: RNAcentral
GCCGCUGUAGCUCAGUGGUAGAGCACUCCCUUGGUAAGGGAGAGGUCAAGAGUCCGAUUCUCUUUAGCGGCACCA